Molecule: ribosomal RNA, 2923 nt
Filed under: Klebsiella pneumoniae
Lineage: Bacteria; Pseudomonadati; Pseudomonadota; Gammaproteobacteria; Enterobacterales; Enterobacteriaceae
Description: bacterial LSU rRNA
Rfam family: Bacterial large subunit ribosomal RNA
Source: RNAcentral
GGGUUGUGAGGUUAAGCGACUAAGCGUACACGGUGGAUGCCCUGGCAGUCAGAGGCGAUGAAGGACGUGCUAAUCUGCGAAAAGCGUCGGUAAGGUGAUAUGAACCGUUAUAACCGGCGAUGUCCGAAUGGGGAAACCCAGUGUGAUUCGUCACACUAUCGUUAACUGAAUACAUAGGUUAACGAGGCGAACCGGGGGAACUGAAACAUCUAAGUACCCCGAGGAAAAGAAAUCAACCGAGAUUCCCCCAGUAGCGGCGAGCGAACGGGGAGCAGCCCAGAGUCUGAAUCAGCUUGUGUGUUAGUGGAACGGUCUGGAAAGUCCGACGGUACAGGGUGAUAGUCCCGUACACCAAAAUGCACAGGCUGUGAACUCGAAGAGUAGGGCGGGACACGUGGUAUCCUGUCUGAAUAUGGGGGGACCAUCCUCCAAGGCUAAAUACUCCUGACUGACCGAUAGUGAACCAGUACCGUGAGGGAAAGGCGAAAAGAACCCCGGCGAGGGGAGUGAAAAAGAACCUGAAACCGUGUACGUACAAGCAGUGGGAGCACCUUCGGGUGUGACUGCGUACCUUUUGUAUAAUGGGUCAGCGACUUAUAUUCUGUAGCAAGGUUAACCGUAUAGGGGAGCCGCAGGGAAACCGAGUCUUAACUGGGCGUUAAGUUGCAGGGUAUAGACCCGAAACCCGGUGAUCUAGCCAUGGGCAGGUUGAAGGUUGGGUAACACUAACUGGAGGACCGAACCGACUAAUGUUGAAAAAUUAGCGGAUGACUUGUGGCUGGGGGUGAAAGGCCAAUCAAACCGGGAGAUAGCUGGUUCUCCCCGAAAGCUAUUUAGGUAGCGCCUCGUGAACUCAUCUUCGGGGGUAGAGCACUGUUUCGGCUAGGGGGUCAUCCCGACUUACCAACCCGAUGCAAACUACGAAUACCGAAGAAUGUUAUCACGGGAGACACACGGCGGGUGCUAACGUCCGUCGUGAAGAGGGAAACAACCCAGACCGCCAGCUAAGGUCCCAAAGUCAUGGUUAAGUGGGAAACGAUGUGGGAAGGCACAGACAGCCAGGAUGUUGGCUUAGAAGCAGCCAUCAUUUAAAGAAAGCGUAAUAGCUCACUGGUCGAGUCGGCCUGCGCGGAAGAUGUAACGGGGCUAAACCAUGCACCGAAGCUGCGGCAGCGACACUAUGUGUUGUUGGGUAGGGGAGCGUUCUGUAAGCCUGCGAAGGUGACCUGUGAGGGUUGCUGGAGGUAUCAGAAGUGCGAAUGCUGACAUAAGUAACGAUAAAGCGGGUGAAAAGCCCGCUCGCCGGAAGACCAAGGGUUCCUGUCCAACGUUAAUCGGGGCAGGGUGAGUCGACCCCUAAGGCGAGGCCGAAAGGCGUAGUCGAUGGGAAACAGGUUAAUAUUCCUGUACUUGGUGUUACUGCGAAGGGGGGACGGAGAAGGCUAUGUUAGCCGGGCGACGGUUGUCCCGGUUUAAGCAUGUAGGCUGGUUGUCCAGGCAAAUCCGGAUAAUCAAGGCUGAGGUGUGAUGACGAGGUACUACGGUGCUGAAGUAACAAAUGCCCUGCUUCCAGGAAAAGCCUCUAAGCAUCAGGUAACAUCAAAUCGUACCCCAAACCGACACAGGUGGUCAGGUAGAGAAUACCAAGGCGCUUGAGAGAACUCGGGUGAAGGAACUAGGCAAAAUGGUGCCGUAACUUCGGGAGAAGGCACGCUGGUGUGUAGGUGAAGUCCCUGCGGAUGGAGCUGAGACCAGUCGAAGAUACCAGCUGGCUGCAACUGUUUAUUAAAAACACAGCACUGUGCAAACACGAAAGUGGACGUAUACGGUGUGACGCCUGCCCGGUGCCGGAAGGUUAAUUGAUGGGGUUAUCCGUAAGGAGAAGCUCUUGAUCGAAGCCCCGGUAAACGGCGGCCGUAACUAUAACGGUCCUAAGGUAGCGAAAUUCCUUGUCGGGUAAGUUCCGACCUGCACGAAUGGCGUAAUGAUGGCCAGGCUGUCUCCACCCGAGACUCAGUGAAAUUGAACUCGCUGUGAAGAUGCAGUGUACCCGCGGCAAGACGGAAAGACCCCGUGAACCUUUACUAUAGCUUGACACUGAACAUUGAGCCUUGAUGUGUAGGAUAGGUGGGAGGCUUUGAAGCGUGGACGCCAGUCUGCGUGGAGCCAACCUUGAAAUACCACCCUUUAAUGUUUGAUGUUCUAACGUUGGCCCCUUACCGGGGUUGCGGACAGUGUCUGGUGGGUAGUUUGACUGGGGCGGUCUCCUCCCAAAGCGUAACGGAGGAGCACGAAGGUUAGCUAAUCCUGGUCGGACAUCAGGAGGUUAGUGCAAUGGCAUAAGCUAGCUUGACUGCGAGCGUGACGGCGCGAGCAGGUGCGAAAGCAGGUCAUAGUGAUCCGGUGGUUCUGAAUGGAAGGGCCAUCGCUCAACGGAUAAAAGGUACUCCGGGGAUAACAGGCUGAUACCGCCCAAGAGUUCAUAUCGACGGCGGUGUUUGGCACCUCGAUGUCGGCUCAUCACAUCCUGGGGCUGAAGUAGGUCCCAAGGGUAUGGCUGUUCGCCAUUUAAAGUGGUACGCGAGCUGGGUUUAGAACGUCGUGAGACAGUUCGGUCCCUAUCUGCCGUGGGCGCUGGAGAAUUGAGGGGGGCUGCUCCUAGUACGAGAGGACCGGAGUGGACGCAUCACUGGUGUUCGGGUUGUCAUGCCAAUGGCACUGCCCGGUAGCUAAAUGCGGAAGAGAUAAGUGCUGAAAGCAUCUAAGCACGAAACUUGCCCCGAGAUGAGUUCUCCCUGAGACUUUAAGUCUCCUGAAGGAACGUUGAAGACGACGACGUUGAUAGGCCGGGUGUGUAAGCGCAGCGAUGCGUUGAGCUAACCGGUACUAAUGAACCGUGAGGCUUAACCUUACAACGCCGAAG